This is a long non-coding RNA of Dioscorea cayenensis subsp. rotundata (Guinea yam), 597 nucleotides long. RefSeq lists it as uncharacterized. The transcript is spliced from 3 exons. Lineage: Eukaryota; Viridiplantae; Streptophyta; Magnoliopsida; Dioscoreales; Dioscoreaceae. The record is from RefSeq and is a predicted model, not a curated record.
UCCCAAUUUUGUUUGAUUUGAAGCUUAGAAGGAGGUGAAGCAUUGGACCGAGGCAAAGAUUUAGCCGAGGUUUAGCUUGUGAGGAAGGGAAAUCAUUUUGUAGGCGGACUCCACAGCCAGCCUGUUGAGGUGGCGUGGUAGACCGGUUCAUUACUACGAGGGCCAGGUCAGGUUGGAGUGAAGAGUCCUGACUGGAUAUUCAUCGGGUAGCCGUUGUCACCAGGCGGUGAACCGAUGGGUCAACGUCAAAGGCAUGAGUACUUUGACGGCCCUAAACCUAGCUACGGCCGUGGUGAAUGUUUAGGGAGGUUUCUAGACCACUUUAUGCUAGGUGAGCGUUAGGUGUUGCGUUAUCCGAGUUGAAAACUAUUUUGAUUUACAUGUUUAUUGUGGAAGCUUUACUUCAGGAUGGGCUUAUUUCCUUUAUUCUGGAACUCUAUAUUCAGUAUUUUCACACUUUGAUUUUCUAAAAACCUAAUGACGGUAGAAUACCUUCUUAUUUCUAUCCUUCUUGCAAGUUUGCUAUUAUAUGCAUUCCAGCGGUUUAAACUAGUUAUUUUAUUUGUAAAGUAUUAUAUUUGUAGUUUUAUGUUAUUA